This 104-nucleotide ribosomal RNA is filed under the name Nonomuraea wenchangensis. Its description in RNAcentral is "Nonomuraea sp. 210417 Bacterial large subunit ribosomal RNA". It matches the Rfam family "Bacterial large subunit ribosomal RNA", at positions 2821 to 2925 of the family's 2925-position model. Lineage: Bacteria; Bacillati; Actinomycetota; Actinomycetes; Streptosporangiales; Streptosporangiaceae. The record is from Rfam by way of RNAcentral.
AGAGUGGGUAAGGCUCCCGGUAGAAGACCGGGUUGAUAGGCCGGAGGUGGAAGCGCGGUAACGUGUGGAGCUGACCGGUACUAAUAGGCCGAGGACUUGACCAC